GCCAGCGCUUGGCAAUUUCGGGAGGCAGCAACACAAUAAGAAACAAAGUGCUGGGAGGAAACUUCCACAUCCUCCCUUGGCAGCCGCUGCACUGAGCUUAUCAGCGCCGUCAGACCGGGGCACUUUCUCCCAUGCCAAACCUCAGCCCCACACCAGGAGGGAAAAGACUUAGACAGCACAGAUCCUCCAGAGGUAGCAAAAAGCAGCCAGGACUCUUCUCUUUGUUAGCUGGUACCAAAUCCCAGAACUUCAGUUGUGCCAUCAGUGGCUUCUGCCAGCCCAAAGUCGCUGGCUCAGCUUCAGGUAUCAUCAAGCGCUGGUAACUCGGAGCAAGGUGUGGGUUAGCUGAACUGAAGCCCUGGGAAGAGCAGCACGUGGCAGCUGCAGGAAUUAGCAGCACAUUUGACUUUUCUCCUCCAGUACUCAGAUCCAACAUCUAAGCAAUAAGGUAAAUGAGGGGAGGGAAAAAAUCCAAGGUGCUCAAAUGAAUAAUAUCAGAUUUACACCUUCAGGCUGGGUAACACAGGGAGGGAGCUGAGACGUUCCCCUCUGCCUCUCCAUGUUUUCUAGCUACCCACAGCCUCACACAGCAAGUUUAGUUGUCCUUGGAAACAACUUUUGCAAGUCCAUAUCAGCACAGGAAGAUAAGGAACUGAGCUGAAUAGACACCAAACCUGCUAUAAAUGGCAAUUCACUCCUACAACCAUAACUGCGGAUUCAGGAAGCCAAGCUGUUGCUGCUCAGCUUUUAUUGCUUCACAGACAGGCACGGAAGGAGCUGACAUGCAAAGUGGCUCUUUCCUCGGGGACGUGUUGGUAUCUGGCUGCCUGGUUUUGUAACGGAGCUGGUAAAGUCAUUUACAGGGCAUCCAAGCGGCAGCAUUUGCACCUCAAUUUCCAUCAAAGGAUCCAGCUGAACCCACAGAGGAUCACAAGCCUGGAUCUGGCCUCUUGCUGCCGCAUCUCAGAGCAUGAGCAUCUUGAGCUGCUCUGGUGAUGGUUUUCCUCUUGGCUGUUAACAAGCGUAAAACCUCCGCUCGGCUGGCUGCUGGUGCCAGCGCUCUCGCGUGCCCACCUCGGAGAGCUGGAUUCAAUCAAAAAGAUGUCCAAUUUCUGCACCGACACAGCCAUGACAAAUUGAUUUACGGGAGGAGAGUGCUCAGUGCAAGAAGCAUAUGGGGAUUACGCUGAGCCUGGUCCUUGUUUUGGACAGGAGUGAGUUAUGGUGGAGUGUCAUCCUGCGCACUUCAGCCUUUACUGUGCUGCUUGCUGCUUUUCGGGGUUUCAUUCAGAGACCUGGGCACUGGAGGACAAACGCGUCUGCUGCAGCACAACCUGGAUUUAAGUCCUGGCAGUCCUCGGAGGUGAAACCCACAAUCGGUUUCUAGCAGGAAUUAUAGCCUGAUAACUACGGUGUUUUAACAGCCAUCAUCCGGCGUGCUGCUGAAGGCUGUGCUGCAGGGAGGGGAAGAGCAGCAGGUCCCUGCCUCUGCUUCGCAGCAUCCCCUGCAUGAGCACCCGAACCCAACCUGGGCUAGCAGCCCUGGGACACACCAGCAAAAUGCUCUAAGACCUCCACCUACCCCAAAGAGUCUGGGGUGAGGCUUUCCUGGCCUCCAACCCCUGUCGCCAAACGGGCAUGGAGAUGACCAGCUCUUCCACAAGCUGGUUGGAAAGGGCAGCGCCAGCAAACCCGUGCCCACCUGUGAAGCUCGCAGGCAGCUGCUUCCUACACUGCUUUGCCUCCGUACAGGAAAACCAGCCCAGCACUGCUGUGGCCUCCCCUUCCCAGCACAGCUUCCAUCUGCUGGGGGGAAAACGGCCAGAUCUGCUGCUUGCCCCGGCCAGGAAGCCUGGGGAUGUCUGCACCAAGCAUCCGGAGAGCUGCUGUCUUCCUGACACCGUGAUCCGGGCAGCCACUGCCCUAUAUCCCAAAUACUGCUGGCAUAUGGAGAGGUUAACUGCACCCCUGUAACACUGCCUGGUGAUGUGACCUGGUGUCUAGACCUCCUGCAAACCUCGCAGAGGAAAAGAUGACCAGGAUGUGUGGAAACACCCUGGCAGUAUUGGUACGGAAGAUGCAGGAGCUGUGCUGACGCUGGCGGCAGGGUUAAGGCAGCUGCCUUCUGCAUCUGCUGGCUCCACGUGCCUGAAAGGAACUUUGGCAUUCAGCAACGCCACAACCCAACAACCAUUGCCCAGUGGGUUAAUAAGGCUUUGUAACAACUUUCCAGCCGUGCCAUUUCUGACUUAGCUAUGGAUUAUUAUCAAUGAGUGGAAAGUAUAUACACAACCUAUUUUCU
Long non-coding RNA from Anas platyrhynchos (mallard), 2302 nucleotides. RefSeq lists it as uncharacterized. Lineage: Eukaryota; Metazoa; Chordata; Aves; Anseriformes; Anatidae. The record is from RefSeq and is a predicted model, not a curated record.